Molecule: ribosomal RNA, 895 nt
Filed under: uncultured bacterium
Lineage: Bacteria
Also listed under: 1 other name
Description: bacterial SSU rRNA
Rfam family: Bacterial small subunit ribosomal RNA
Source: RNAcentral
GAAGGCUAGCUACAGGCUUAACACAUGCAAGUCGCCCGGCAGCGAUGAAGAAAGCUUGCUUUCUUCAGGCGGCGACCGGCGCACGGGUGAGUAACGCGUAUCGAACCUGCCUCAUACUCAGGAAUAGCCUUGCGAAAGUAAGAUUAAUGCCCGAUGUUAUUAGGAUAUCACAUGAUGUUUUAAUUAAAGAUUUAUCGGUAUGAGAUGGCGAUGCGUCCCAUUAGCUUGUUGGCGGGGUAACGGCCCACCAAGGCAUCGAUGGGUAGGGGUUCUGAGAGGAAGGUCCCCCACAUUGGAACUGAGACACGGUCCAAACUCCUACGGGAGGCAGCAGUGAGGAAUAUUGGUCAAUGGACGCAAGUCUGAACCAGCCAAGUAGCGUGCAGGAAGACGGCCCUCUGGGUUGUAAACUGCUUUUAGUUGGGAAUAAAGUGCACCACGUGUGGUGUUUUGUAUGUACCAUCAGAAAAAGGACCGGCUAAUUCCGUGCCAGCAGCCGCGGUAAUACGGAAGGUCCAGGCGUUAUCCGGAUUUAUUGGGUUUAAAGGGAGCGCAGGCGGACCUUUAAGUCAGCUGUGAAAUACGGCGGCUCAACCGUCGAACUGCAGUUGAUACUGGAGGUCUUGAGUGCACACAGGGAUACUGGAAUUCAUGGUGUAGCGGUGAAAUGCUCAGAUAUCAUGAAGAACUCCGAUCGAGAAGGCAGGUAUCCGGGGUGCAACUGACGCUGAGGCUCGAAAGUGCGGGUAUCAAACAGGAUUAGAUACCCUGGUAGUCCGCACAGUAAACGAUGAAUACUCGCGAUUUGCGAUACACAGUAAGUCGCCAAGCGAAAGCGUUAAGUAUUCCACCUGGGGAGUACGCCGGCAACGGUGCAACUAAGGGGAAUUGACGG